Molecule: ribosomal RNA, 253 nt
Filed under: uncultured bacterium
Lineage: Bacteria
Description: partial 16S ribosomal RNA
Rfam family: Bacterial small subunit ribosomal RNA
Source: RNAcentral
UACAGAGGUCCCAAGCGUUGUUCGGAUUCACUGGGCGUAAAGGGUGCGUAGGUGGCCAGGUAAGUUUGGUGUGAAAGCUCGGAGCUUAACUCCGAAAAGUCAUUGAAUACUAUCUGGCUGGAGGGUCGGAGGGGAGACUGGAAUUCUCGGUGUAGCAGUGAAAUGCGUAGAUAUCGAGAGGAACACCAGUGGCGAAGGCGGGUCUCUGGGCCGUAACUGACGCUGAGGAGCGAAAGCAUGGGGAGCGAACAGG